Molecule: ribosomal RNA, 773 nt
Filed under: uncultured Neocallimastigales
Lineage: Eukaryota; Fungi; Neocallimastigomycota; Neocallimastigomycetes; Neocallimastigales
Description: partial large subunit ribosomal RNA
Rfam family: Eukaryotic large subunit ribosomal RNA
Source: RNAcentral
UAUGUGAUCGUCUCUCGCAUAUCAAUAAGCGGAGGAAAAGAAACUAACAAGGAUUCCCCUAGUAACGGCGAGUGAAGCGGGAAGAGCUCAAAUUUGAAAUCUUAAAGGGUUUCCCUUUACGAAUUGUAGUUUAAAGAAGUGUUUUCUGUUGAGGUUUUGGUAAAAGUUCUUUGGAAUAGGACAUCAUAGAGGGUGAGAAUCCCGUAUUUGACCUUUACUUUCAACUUUGUGAUACACUUUCAAAGAGUCGGAUUGUUUGGGAAUGCAGUCCAAAAUGGGUGGUAAAUUUCAUCUAAAGCUAAAUAUUGGCGAGAGACCGAUAGCGAACAAGUACCGUGAGGGAAAGAUGAAAAGAACUUUGAAAAGAGAGUUAAACAGUACGUGAAAUUGUCAAAAGGGAAGCGUUUGACACCAGUGUUGUUUUUCUGAAAAUCAAUUAAAGAACUGUUUAUGCUAAGCUGUUUAGACUUUAUCAGCUAUCUGUUUAGUUUUGAGCUUUUCUUUAAUGCACUUUUCAGUUAACAAGUCAACAUCAAUUUCUUUUGCUGUAAAAAAGCUUGAGGAAGGUGGCUUGAGAUUCGUCUUAAGUGUUUAUAGCCUCUUGCCUAUGCAGUCGGAGAGAUUGAGGUCUGCAGCGUAGAUCCUUCGGGGCUAAAUGCAUUUGUGCUAAGUUAUAGCAUUUUAUAGACAACUUGUUGACUAUGAUUUGUCUUGUAGCUUACUCGCUUAUGUUAUUUUACCUACGCUUAGGAUGUUGAGCGCAUGUCUCUCCU